GUAGGUGGCGAGCGUUAUCCGGAAUUACUGGGCGUAAAGCGCACGCAGGCGGCUAUGUAAGUCUGACGUGAAAGCUCCUGGCUUAACUGGGAGAGGUCGUUGGAAACUGCGUAGCUUGAGGCAAUGAGAGGGGUGCGGAAUUCCCGGUGUAGUGGUGGAAUGCGUAGAUAUCGGGGGGAACACCAGUGGCGAAGGCGGCACCCUGGCAUUGGCCUGACGCUCAGGUGCGAAAGCGUGGGGAGCGAACGGGAUUAGAUACCCCGGUAGUCCACGCUGUAAACGAUGAGCACUAGGUGUGGGCAGUAUCAAAGCUGUUCGUGCCGAAGCAAACGCGAUAAGUGCUCCGCCUGGGAGUACGGCCGCAAGGCUA
Molecule: ribosomal RNA, 370 nt
Filed under: uncultured organism
Description: partial 16S ribosomal RNA
Rfam family: Bacterial small subunit ribosomal RNA
Source: RNAcentral